RNAcentral lists this long non-coding RNA (351 nucleotides) under Zonotrichia albicollis (white-throated sparrow). RNAcentral describes it as "lncRNA (ENSZALG00000013715.1)". Lineage: Eukaryota; Metazoa; Chordata; Aves; Passeriformes; Passerellidae. The record is from RNAcentral.
CAGCUCUGGUUCCUGGCACUCUCCUGGGGAUGCUCCGGAGCUGCUCCGUCCCUCUGAGCCCUCCCAGGGGGACACCAGCUCUGUCCUGGGCUAUGAGGAGAGGAGCAGCUCCACAAAUCCUGAGGGUCCAUCCCACCACCAGCCCUACUGGGAUGAGACAAGGUUUCUGGACUCGGUCAGCCUCACUGAGAGGGGCCAAGGAGCUCCUGGCCAUGAGAGCCCCCCAGAGCCCCCCAGGCUGAAGGAUGCCACUGAGCCCAGCAGGGCUGGGUCUGAGCUGCACUCCCAGGACACUGCUGGGAGCAGGGACAGGGAGCUGGCACUGUCAUCCUGUGUGCAGAGUGAGGAGAG